Molecule: non-coding RNA, 78 nt
Organism: Armillaria luteobubalina
Lineage: Eukaryota; Fungi; Basidiomycota; Agaricomycetes; Agaricales; Physalacriaceae
Source: the annotation of a GenBank genome assembly
UCUCUGAUAGUAUAUCGGUUAGUACACGCGCCUGUCAUUGGUACGCGCGAAAGCUGGGUUCGACUCCCAGUCAGAGAG